UGGGGAAUCUUGCACAAUGGGGGCAACCCUGAUGCAGCGACGCCGCGUGAGCGAUGAAGCCCUUCGGGGCGUAAAGCUCUUUCGACCGGAACGAUAAUGACGGUACCGGGAGAAGAAGCUGCGGCUAACUACGUGCCAGCAGCCGCGGUAAUACGUAGGGUGCAAGCGUUAUCCGGAAUCACUGGGCGUAAAGGGCGCGUAGGCGGUCUGUUAAGUCCGAUGUUAAAUCCCGGGGCUCAACCCCGGAUAAGCGUUGGAUACUGGCAGGCUAGACGGUUGGAGAGGCGAGUGGAAUUACCAGUGUAGCGGUGGAAUGCGUAGAUACUGGUAGGAACACCCAUUGCGAAGGCAGCUCGCUGGACAACACGUGACGCUGAGGCGCGAAAGUGUGGGGAGCAGACC
Molecule: ribosomal RNA, 402 nt
Filed under: uncultured bacterium
Lineage: Bacteria
Description: bacterial SSU rRNA
Rfam family: Bacterial small subunit ribosomal RNA
Source: RNAcentral